Non-coding RNA from Microcebus murinus (gray mouse lemur), 2459 nucleotides. The record is from RefSeq and is a predicted model, not a curated record. Lineage: Eukaryota; Metazoa; Chordata; Mammalia; Primates; Cheirogaleidae.
UGGAUCCAAUCCCAAAAGGCCAUGAUUGCAGCAUACUCGGUUUCUCAUGUUUCCGGAAAGGCUGUGGGACUCAGAAGGGGAAUUUCUGGGUAGCCUGGCAGCACUUCUUGUUAAGGAUUGGGGAAGGUUCGUGUAAAGCUAAUCUUACUUUACUAUUAGGAAAUCAGCAGUGGUCCUUGGAUUCCUCCACAGAGCUACUUAGUAGCUUUGGUUCAGUUUUGACUCACUGAAGUUUAGAGAAUGGAAUCUGCAAAGUAAGAUCUUUUCUGUUGGACUUUCAGUGCUAAGAAUUUGUGUGGGUGCUGUUGAAUCAAAGACAUCUUUAUUUUCUGCCUCCUCACCAUGCAGAAUCCUAUUCCAAGAACUUGGGCACUCAGGUAUCCACCAUGGGGUUGGGUCCUGAACAGAAGAUGUCAAAUGGCAAUGUUUCUGGAGACCAUAGGGACACUGCCGGCCUUGAUGCCUUCAGCUGUGCCUAUGGUAACUCCUCUCUUCCACAGUCCACCAAACACUCAGAGGAGCCCUUUGCCACCUACUUUAAUGAGAAGAUCACCAUUCCUGAGGAGGAGUACUCUUGUUUUAGCUUUCGUAAACUCUGGGCUUUCAUGGGACCAGGCUUUCUUAUGAGCAUUGGUUUCCUGGAUCCAGGAAACAUUGAAGCUGAUUUGCAGUCUGGAGCAGUGGCUGGAUUUAAGUUGCUCUGGGUACUGCUGUUGGCUACCAUCUUGGGGCUGCUGCUCCAGCGGCUCGCAGUUAGACUGGGAGUGGUCACUGGGCUGCAAUCUUGCUGAAGUGUGUCACCGUCAGUAUCCCAAGGUCCCACGAAUUAUCCUAUGGCUGAUGGUAGAGUUGGCUAUUAUUGGCUCAGAUAUGCAAGAAGUCAUUGGCUCAGCCAUUGCCAUCAAUCUUCUGUCUUUAGGAAGGGUUCCUCUGUGGGGUGGAGUCCUUAUCACCAUUGCAGAUACCUUUGUGUUUCUCUUUUUGGACAAAUAUGGCUUGCGGAAGUUAGAAGCAUUUUUUGGAUUUCUCAUCACUGUUAUGGCCCUUACAUUUGGAUAUGAGUAUGUUACAGUGAAACCCAGCCAGACCAGGUACUCAAGGGCAUGUUCGUGCAUCCUGUUCAGGCUGUCGCACACCACAGACGCCAGCGCUGUGCAUCGGGGAGCCUGUCACUCAAUGCCACACAACGUAGCUCCAUAGUCACUUAGUCAUUUCUAGACAGGUAAACCGGAAUAAUAAACAAGAAGUUCGAGAAGCCAAUAAGUACUUUUUCAUUGAAUCCUGCAUUGCUGUCUUUGUUUCCUUCGUCAUCAACGUCUUUGUUAUGUCAGUCUUUGCUGAAGCAUUUUUUGAGAAAACCAAUGAGCAGGUGGUUGAAGUGUGUCAAAAUAGCAGCAGUCCCCAUGCUGGCGUCUUUCCUAACAAUAACUCAACACUGAUUGUGAACAUUUACAAAGGGGGUAUUGUUCUGGGAUGUUACUUUGGGCCUGCUGCUCUCUACAUCUGGGCAGUGGGGAUCCUGGCUGCAGGACAGAGCUCCACCAUGACAGGAACCUAUUCUGGCCAGUUUGUCAUGGAGGGAUUCCUGAAACUGAAAUGGUCACGCUUUGCCCGAGUGAUUCUGACCCGCUCUAUUGCCAUCAUUCCCACACUGUUUGUUGCUGUCUUCCAAGAUGUGGAGCAUCUAACAGGGAUGAAUGAUUUCCUGAAUGUUCUGCAGAGCUUACAGCUUCCAUUUGCUCUCAUACCCAUCCUCACCUUUACAAGCUUACGGCCAGUAAUGAGUGACUUUGCCAAUGGAAUAGGCUGGAGGAUUGCAGGUGGGAUCGUGGUCCUUAUCGUCUGUUCCAUCAACAUGUAUUUUGUAGUGAUUUAUGUCCAGGAACUAGGGCAUGUGGCAUUAUACGUGGUGGCUGCUGUGAUCAGUGUGGCUUAUCUGAGCUUUGUGUUCUACUUGGGUUGGCAAUGCUUGAUUGCACUGGGCAUGUCCUUCCUGGACUGUGGGCACAUGGUAAGCAUCUCUAAAGGCCUGCUGACUGAAGAAGCCACCGGUGGCUAUGCUAAGUAAACACUGGAUUAGUCUGUCUGUCUUGCGCAGGUAGCCAUCAGAGCCAGUGUGUUUCUAUGGUUUACUGUGUGAACAUAGCUAAAAGUAUGUGCUGAUGCACAGACUGCAUUUAGGACUCAAGUGCUGGUUGGGGGAGACUUUCUUUCAUAUGUGUUUGAAAGAUGGAAUUAUUUUUCUUUUCUUGACCUCCUUACCUGGGACCUGGAUUAAGUAGGAUCUUUAAAAAGCUGACAUUUGCUACUAUCAUUCCAACACUAAAUUCUUAAGUAGCUGCCCAAGGGUUAUCUAGCUUAUUUUAUCCUUUUGAGAUAAUCAUCUAUGCAUGAUUCUUGACCAGGCCAUAUGUUUCAAAAAUUUUGGGAAAGUGCAAAACAGUUGUCAUAAUACAUAC